UAAUGGGUAAAAUUCUUCGUGAUGGAA
This 27-nucleotide small RNA is filed under the name Bombyx mori (domestic silkworm). RNAcentral describes it as "ovarian small RNA-19799". The record is from RNAcentral. Lineage: Eukaryota; Metazoa; Arthropoda; Insecta; Lepidoptera; Bombycidae.